GAUUAGCUGAGAGGUGGUGCAUGGCCGUCGUCAGUUCGUACUGUGAAGCAUCCUGUUAAGUCAGGCAACGAGCGAGACCCACGUCCACAGUUGCCAGCAUACCCUCCGGGGUGAUGGGUACACUGUGGAGACCGCCGCUGCUAAAGCGGAGGAAGGAGUGGGCAACGGUAGGUCAGUAUGCCCCGAAUCUCCCGGGCUACACGCGGGCUACAAUGGUUGGUACAAUGGGCAUCUACCCCGAAAGGGGAAGGAAAUCUCUUAAAGCCAAUCGUAGUUCGGAUUGAGGGCUGCAACUCGCCCUCAUGAAGCUGGAAUCCGUAGUAAUCGCGUUUCAACAGAACGCGGUGAAUACGUCCCUGCUCCUU
This 365-nucleotide ribosomal RNA is filed under the name uncultured Methanosaeta sp. RNAcentral's name for it is "bacterial SSU rRNA". It matches the Rfam family "Archaeal small subunit ribosomal RNA", at positions 974 to 1338 of the family's 1478-position model. The record is from RNAcentral. Lineage: Archaea; Methanobacteriati; Methanobacteriota; Methanomicrobia; Methanotrichales; Methanotrichaceae.